GUGCUCACUUCGGCAGCACAUAUACUAAAACUGAAUCAAUCAGAGAAGACCAGCAUGGCCCCUGCGCAAGGAUGACGCAAAUUCGUGAACCAUUCCAUAUUUUU
Small nuclear RNA from Arvicola amphibius (Eurasian water vole), 104 nucleotides. NCBI's taxonomy places the organism in Eukaryota, Metazoa, Chordata, Mammalia, Rodentia, Cricetidae. The record is from RefSeq and is a predicted model, not a curated record.